This 442-nucleotide ribosomal RNA is filed under the name uncultured bacterium. Its description in RNAcentral is "partial 16S ribosomal RNA". It matches the Rfam family "Bacterial small subunit ribosomal RNA", at positions 338 to 795 of the family's 1533-position model. The record is from RNAcentral.
CCUACGGGCGGCAGCAGUAGGGAAUCUUUCACAAUGGGCGAAAGCCUGAUGGAGCAACGCCGCGUGCAGGAUGAAGGCCUUCGGGUUGUAAACUGCUUUUAUAUGCGAGAAAUAUGAUGGUAACUUAUGAAUAAGGAUCGGCUAACUACGUGCCAGCAGCCGCGGUCAUACGUAGGAUCCGAGCAUUAUCCGGAGUGACUGGGUGUAAAGAGUUGCGUAGGUGGCAUAAUAAGUAGCUAGUGAAAUCUGGUGGCUCAACCAUUCAGACUAUUAGCUAAACUGUUAAGCUCGAGACCGUUAGGGGUAACUGGAAUUUCUAGUGUAGGAGUGAAAUCCGUAGAUAUUAGAUGGAACACCAAUAGCGUAGGCAGGUUGCUGGGACGGUUCUGACACUAAGGCACGAAAGCGUAGGGAGCAAACGGGAUUAGAUACCCCAGUAGUC